This 344-nucleotide long non-coding RNA is filed under the name Ictidomys tridecemlineatus (thirteen-lined ground squirrel). RNAcentral's name for it is "lncRNA (ENSSTOG00000032791.1)". The record is from RNAcentral. Lineage: Eukaryota; Metazoa; Chordata; Mammalia; Rodentia; Sciuridae.
GACAACACACCCCAAAUGAUGAUCUGAGUUGCUAGGAAAGAAACCUGAGGUUGACAUUGAGCACACCAUCUUCUUUGUCACCAUCCAGAGAAUCUACAAAGAACCAGAUCCCUCUCCUCAACAUGAAUCCUUCUGUGCUCUUGGAACCUGAAGUUUCCAGGGUUUUUAGCUAUUUCAGAGAAAGGAAAUUUCAGAACCAGAAUCCUGCUCUGGAAUUCCAUCUCCUGCAUUUCUAGCAUGGAGCUAGAACAAUUGAGUUCUCGAAGUCCUCUCUUGAGGCCAGGGUUGUGGCUCAGCGGUAGAGCACUAGCCUAGCACAUGUGAGGUGUUGGGCUCAAUAUUCA